AAAAAUUCUCAAUUGACUCUUCCUCUGAAGCUUUUCGUUUUCGCGUUCCUCUCAAUCUGCGGAAACUUAAAGCUUCAGACACAUUUCAAUUUCAAUUCAGAUUCUCAGUUUCUGGCAACAAAUCUCGGAAUCUCCAUCUAAUCUUCUUCUCUUCGCUUUUGAAUCUCGUUUUUCCCUCCAGAAUUUCACGAUCUUCACCUCUCUGUUGUUCAUUUCGGUUUUGAUUUGGGGAUGGGAACCCCGGAAUUCCCUAAUCUCGGGAAGCAUUGCAACUUGGAAGAUUGUAAGCAGAUCGAUUUCUUGCCCUUUACUUGCGAUUGCUGUCGCCAGGUCUUUUGUUUGGAGCAUCGUAGCUACAAUAGACAUAGUUGUCCGAAAGCAGAUAGACGGGAUGUCACCGUCGUCAUUUGUCCGCUGUGUGCCAAAGGAGUUCGUCUCGUCCCAGAUCAAGAUCCCAACAUUACAUGGGAGAUACAUGUUAACACUGAAUGUGACCCAUCAAAUUAUGAAAAAGUCACAAAGAAGAAAAAAUGCCCUGUGCCUGGCUGUAGGGAGUCGUUAACGUUUUCAAACACGAUCAAGUGUCGGGACUGCUUGGUAGACCAUUGUUUGAAACACCGUUUUGGUCUCGACCAUAAGUGUCCUGGUCCGAAGAAACCCGAACCAGCAGGCUUUUCUUUUGUUGGUGUUUUAAGUAGAAGUAAACAAGAAGAGAAUGGGUCUAAGAAAGCAUUGCCUACUACAGCUUCCUCUAAUUGGACAACAGCCCUCCUUAAUGUAGCCUCGUCUUUUAAAGCCUCAUGGAAAGCAACAGGCAACAACAGCAAUGGAAAUGGACAUGUUGAGCAAUGUCCACAAUGCAGUGCUAAGUUUUCGAUGGUUUCGUCUCUAGUCGAGCAUGUAAAAAAAGUCCAUGAAAGCGGUGUCAAUCGACCUGGGGCAAAGAAGGCAGUAAUCGAUGCGUGUCCAAAGUGUAGCAGAGGGUUCAUCGAUCCUGUUGCCCUCGUCGAGCAUAUUGAGAAGGAUCAUGGUGGUACUUCAAGAGCUUGAGAAUACGUAUCAGAAAAUCCUAUUGCCCUCCUCUAGCAUAUUGGGAGAGAUCAUGGUGGUACUUCAAGAGCUUGAGAGCAUACGUAUCAGCGUCCAAAGUGUAGCAGAGAAUUUAUCGAUCCUAUUGCCCUUGUCGAGCAUAUUGAGAGGGAACAUGGUGGUACUUCAAGAGCUUGAGCAGACGUAUUGGUGUCCAAAGUGUAGCAAAGGAUUUAUUAAUCCUAUUGCCCUCGUUGAGCAUAUUGAGAGGGAUCAUGGGAUACUUCAAGAGCUUGAGCUUUCGUAUCGGCAUCCAAAGUGUAGCAGAGGAUUCAUCGAUCCUGUUGCCCUCGUCGAGCAUAUUGAGAGGGAUCAUGGUGACACUUCAAGAGCUUGAACAUACGUAUCAAAAAAUCAUACCUGUUGUGACCGUUCACACAUCAGAAGGUACGAAUGCCAACUCGAGCAUAACUUUAAUUGUUUCAUCGAACUAUACCACGAUAGAAUAGAUCGUUGUGACUACCUUUUGCGAAGAGUCAUUGAACUUUACCGAGUGU
Molecule: RNA transcript, 1586 nt
Organism: Cucurbita moschata (crookneck pumpkin)
Lineage: Eukaryota; Viridiplantae; Streptophyta; Magnoliopsida; Cucurbitales; Cucurbitaceae
Gene name: zinc finger AN1 and C2H2 domain-containing stress-associated protein 16-like
Exons: 3
Source: RefSeq, a predicted model, not a curated record